CCGGCGUCUUCCACAGCACGUACCCGGUGGCCAUCCGGAACGUGCCGGUGCCGCCGACGACGGGGAUCUCGCGGACAUCCUCGCCGGUGUCGUCGCGUCCCAUCAGCGCGAGCGUGCUCCCGUUGUGGGCGCCCGACGUGAGCAGCAGGUUGGCGCACACCAUCAGCGCCGCGCCCGACUGCGACGCCAGCAUGUAGAUGCCCUGCAUCCGGCCCAGCUCCGCGGACGUCGGCGACGAGGUCGCCGUCACCGGGUCGUCGAUCACCGUCGUGUCGCCGAACGUCAUGCCGAGUGUUGGCGCCGUCAGGGUGGUGCCCGGACCCUUGAUCACCUUCACCGCCGUUGGGUUGCUGCCCGACGUGAUGUCGUGCAUGAACAAGCUCAGGUGGGUGGUGCCGUUGCUGUCCGCGUCCGCCGCCAGCGUCGUCGUCAGGACGGCGGACGACGUGGAGAGGAGGAGGAGGAGGAUGAGGGGGAGGAUGGGCGCGGUGGUGGCCAUGGCUCACGGCCGCGUGAAGGAAUGUGCGUGCGUGGUUCCGGCCGAUGUGCUAGCUAGAUAGCUUGUGAUAAGCAGGCUGCCUGGAAUGGAUUAGCUGCUACUGCUUGUGUUAUGUAUGGGACAGUGUAUAUGGGCUGGUUGUUGCAUUAUUAUUGGGUUAGUUUUUAGGAACGAAGAGGACAUGUAGUAUGAUGGAUGAUGAUUUAGACGAUGACAUUGACAGCAUGUGCACCACUGUACCACUGUGUCAAGGCCUCUACUGACUACUAGUAUCUCUCUGCAGGUCAAUUAAUUAGCUACUAGCUAGUGUGAUGGUUGUUGAGCUAGCUACUGAUGAUGAUUUGUAGUAGUAGCAGUAACCAGUUACCAAACCCAACAAAUCUGAAGAUGGAUGGAUGUAGUAGUUGUUGAGCUCACCUACCAAUAUAUGUACGAAUAUAAGAGAUGGAUGGAUGGAUGGAUGGAUGGGCAGGGGCCCAAGGGCAUUGCUUGCUUGCUUGCUUUGUGCGCUGCCUCCAUGCUGUCCAUCUCAGUCCAUGUGCCGUCAGGUUCACGUUCGCUUUUUCUUUUUUUAAAUUAAUCUUCCUUUCCUCUUUUUUCCAUUGAUUCGAGAACACUUUAUUGUUUGUUUAUCGACGAAAGGCUCACGGCAUUAUUACAGCAUCACCACCACUGGCGAUCUUGUAAUCAGUCAACUGUCGUGUCGUGUGUCCCUUCGCACCAACUUUUGUACCGCGUUCGGUGUUUUUUCGAAGACUUAACUUAUAUUAAAAGUAUAGUAAAUAUUUAUUUGCAUAAUAUCUACUAUUUGUAAUGCAUAAUGAGUAAUAUAAAAUUAACAAUUGAAUAUGUUUUCAUAAUAAAAAAUAUAUAAACAUUGAUAUUUUUUUACAAGUCAAGUUAAAUAAAUUAAAAAAAUGGUCUGUCAAAAAAUAUAUAUCCUUUUGGAACAGAUGGAGCAAGAGACCUAUCCAUACUGUUAAUAGUUACACUCUCUCUGUAAAAAGAGAUAAAGAAAUCAUUGUAACAUUCAAAAUUUACCUAAUCCUCAUGGUUGCAUGCAAACUCCUUAACUGUAGCUGCAAGCAAAACGAACUGCAUCAAUUAUCCAUGUGAGAACCAAUCUUUCUAUAUGAGAUGUCUAAUAAACAAGGCAUUAUGGCUAUUUUUGUUCCACACUAAUCUAUACUCCCUAUGUCCUGUAGUUACAGUGCAUCCUAGGAAGAACAUAAAAGAUACAUGUACCCUUAUUUUAUUUCCUAAUCAGGCACUUUUUAUCAACAUGAUUGAUGGUGAUUGUUGAUACAUGGAAAGUAUUUAAUUCAAAGUUAGUUUUUGUCCUCUAGGAUGUAUUAUAUUUGAGGACAAAUUGUAAAUGCUACAAUGCACUAUAUUACAGGACGGAGGAAGUAUGAAACAAGACACCGGUAAUUUUAUAGCCUUAAAAAUUCCCAAGGGAACUUCUUUUAUUGGCUAAAUAAUAAUGAUAUAAAUAUAACAUGAAGAAACUUAAAAUUUACAUCCAAUUAUGAUGAGAACGUCGCCACACUUGACACAUCUACACCAUCAUUUUUUUCAAGUUGCAAUUCAUCUCCAACUCAGCUGCCACGUCACCGUCGGAUUCAGCAGACACGUCGUCAAUGUUUCGAUCAUAACUUCUUCAUACGGUAUUGAAACGGGGUGAUCUUGGACUCGUUGGAAAGGGAACGACGACGUCGUCGUUUUGGAUCUAUUCUUAGCUCCAGAUCACCCACGGAUUAAUCUGUGUGACCACGGCAAGGUGUUGCGUCACCUAUUUUGAGCCAACUUGGCCAUGUAUCGAGUCGGCCUUAAGCCCAAGUUGUGGGCGUCUCCCCUUGGUCGCCUAUAAUUCUAGAACAUCUCUCUUUUAUAUUCCACGCAGUCGCCGCUGUUUAGACUUAGGUUUUGUUUAGAGUUUAGUUUUCCAUCGAGAAAUUGAAUCGUUCAUUGUAACUGUGGUGAUAAAUCCUUUUACAGUGAUUCAAGGCCCCCGUUCUUGAUCUCUUCCACUGUGUCGAUUAGUCCUUUGGAACCGAAUUCUUGAACCCUCGUUUGAUAUUCGCAUCAUUCAUAUUUGCAAUUUUAGAUUGCGUGUUUAUACCUUCUUGCUUGUGUUCUUUGAUUCGCUUGCAGGAACAGCCUUCUUAAACCCUCGCUUGAUAACCAACAGAGCAGUGGUGUAACGGUUGAAGGUUCAAAUCAUGUCUGUUUUGAAGUCGGAUCGUCAACGUCGAGAUCUCCACAAAUCAAAUUUACUAAUUACCUCUCGGAAGAUCGAGCCUGAUUUUCAUCAAAUUACCUACCUUUGCAUUUAACAAAAAAACACAGUUCUCCUAUAUAAACCUCUCAUUACUUACUUAUACCUUAAACGCAUAUCCCAAGCUAAGGUCACAACUAAACCCAUAUCAAAACACAUGGAGAAAUUAUGAGUGGAUAAGAAGAAGGACAUACAUAAGUGUGAAAUAAAAUCUAUCACAAUAGGAUAACAAUUACUACAGAGGAUUCAUAUUGUGUUAGAAUAUGGGUAAACGAGAGAAAAUUAACAGAGAUAAACAAAGGUCGAAAAUUCUCAUAUCCUUUAUGAAAAUUUAAAGAAAUAUAUUUUUAGAAAUUACAAAGUAUCCAUCCAUACUUAGAAAUUACUCAUAGCCUUUAUGAAAAUUUAAAGCAAUAUAUUUUUAUUGGAAACCUAAGAUACCCUUACUCCUAUCUAUAAAUUAUCAAUGCUUGCACAUUUUAUAUAGAGGAUAAAAAACACAAAGCACCAUAUAUUCAUAUAUUUUUUACCACAAAUAAAAAGAAAACCACCCAAAAUACAUUUGCACCAAUAUUUUUUAAAAUAAUGUUAGGUGCUUGGUGGAAAAAAUGGAAUGAUUUCGUCAAAGAAUAAGUUCAUUAAAUUGAAAGAUAAGCGAAACCUAGGAAAAUAACCUCCCAAACCUAACUUGAACGCUCAAUCUCAACUCUAUGUAACACAACAUAUUGAUCGUUCUCUGCUCAACACUACUAUACUCCCCAUCCUGAAAAUAUAAUGGAUUUUCAGUUGUCCAAAGUCAAACCAUAUUUCACCUCUUUAAUGUAGUAGUAGGUGUUACUAUGCUUGUCUAGAAAAAAGUUAAUCAAACUUAAGAUAAUUUGACUUCGAACAACUAAAAGUUUAUUAUAUUUGAAGACCAAGGAAAUAGAUUACUAAUAGAGGGGGAUUGUGACUGAAUGAGCGAAUUGGGAUGAGAACAUGAGAAAUGUCAGCCCACGAGAGAAGGCGGUAGUGAGUGUGUUUAGAAAAUGAGUUUUUUUUUCCAAGCAGUUGGCAAGAGAUUUCCUGAGGUAAAUUUGUUAGAAGGAAAACAGGAAUAUUGUUUCAAAAAUAGAAGGAAAAUAGGAAUUUUUUACAAAACAAAACACAAGAGAAAAAAAAAAGGAAAGGAAACAUGAGCAAUGAGCAACUUUUCAUGUGUGUAAAGAGCAUGUUUGCUACCGCUCCAACUUCAGCUAAAUCAGCUUUCACAUGAUAGCUCGACCUGGAAUGACAACCGACCAAAAAAAACAGCAAAUAAUAAGCAACCAAAAACUGAGCCAACAGUAAUAAUCCGGUACAUAUCCAUUCUGAAGGCUGCUUGAUUGAUGGUAACUCCCUCCAUCCCAAAUUAUAAGACAUUCUAAAAAUUUUGGAGAAUCAAUACAUCUUAGGUUUAACCAAAAUUAUAGAAAAAAUAUAAAGAUUUAUGAUAUCAAAUAGGUAUAUAAAAAAUAUAAUUAAUAAAGAAUCUAAUAAUACAUAAUUAAUAUCAUAAAUGUUAUUAUCUUAUGAUAUAAAUUUAAUUAAACUUAAAAUACUUUGAUUUUACAAGAUUUUUGGAAUGCCUUAUAAUUUGGGAUAGAGAAAGUGUAUGUAGCUAGAAAAGGAGAAUGUCCACGCGCCAGAAAAGAACGUACGCAGGGACGCACACGACACAUGAGCCAUCUCCAACUCCAAUACACACGAUCGACCAACACCAUACCACGUACUAGUACAUUGCAAGCAAGUAUAUAUAUACGUACAUGGACUCAUGGAGUCAUGGACAUGCCACCAGACACUGCACGAUAGCUGAUCACCAUACCCCGGAUCCAACUACCGCAACAACAACGGCGACGACGCACGCACUGACCCACCCUGCUCCAACCCGCUUGGCGCCGGCGGCCGAGGAGGCACCAGUGGUGAUGCUGCCGCCGCCGCCGUCGAUGGCGGCGCCGCUACCCGUGGCUGCAGUCGCCGUCGUCCUCACGUGCACGUCGAGCUCGAUGGUGGCGUCGGGCCCGCUCAUGCUGGACGUCUUCCACAGCACGUACCCGGUGGCCAUCCUGAACUUGCCCGUGCCGCCGACGACGGAGAGCUCCCGCACGUCGGCGGCCACGUCGUCCCGGCCCACCACCGCGAGCGUGCUGCCGUUGUGGUCCCCCGUGGUGAGCAGCAGGUUGGCGCACACCAUCAGCACGAGCCCCGACUGCGACGACAUCAUGUAGAAGCCCUGCGCGCGGCCCACGGCGGCGGACGUCGGCGACGACGUCUCCGUCAGCGCGUCGUCGAUCACCGUGGUGUCGCCGAACGCCAGCCCCGGGACGA
RNAcentral lists this long non-coding RNA (5123 nucleotides) under Sorghum bicolor (sorghum). Its description in RNAcentral is "long non-coding RNA (SBIC_LNC001850)". The record is from RNAcentral. Lineage: Eukaryota; Viridiplantae; Streptophyta; Magnoliopsida; Poales; Poaceae.